Molecule: ribosomal RNA, 402 nt
Filed under: uncultured prokaryote
Description: bacterial SSU rRNA
Rfam family: Bacterial small subunit ribosomal RNA
Source: RNAcentral
UGGGGAAUAUUAGAAAUGGACGAAAGUCUGAUCUAGCAACACCGCGUGUGCGAAGAAGGCCUUCGGGUUGUAAAGCACUUUUUGAGAGGAUGAGGAAGGACAGUACUCUUAGAAUAAGCCUCGGCUAACUACGUGCCAGCAGCCGCGGUAAAACGUAGGAGGCGAGCGUUAUCCGGAUUUACUGGGCGUAAAGCGUGUGUAGGCGGUUUGAUAAGUUGGAUGUGAAAGCUCCUGGCUUAACUGGGAGAGGUCGUUCAAAACUAUCAGACUUGAGAGUGGUAGAGGGAGGUGGAAUUCCGCAUGUAGUGGUGAAAUGCGUAGAUAUGCGGAGGAACACCAGUGGCGAAAGCGGCCUCCUGGCCCAUUUCUGACGCUCAGACACGAAAGCUAAGGUAGCAAACG